AAAAGUAAAGCAAUCUGAGAUGCAUCUUAUUUACAGUAAGGAAGAGAGUUGUUUGAUUCAACUUAUUUUUA
RNAcentral lists this transfer RNA (71 nucleotides) under Eclysippe vanelli. Its description in RNAcentral is "tRNA-Val". The record is from RNAcentral. Lineage: Eukaryota; Metazoa; Annelida; Polychaeta; Terebellida; Ampharetidae.